CACGCUCACUGCAGUGGCUCCGGCUUCAGCAGCCUUGGAGAAGCAUCAGCUGAGAGGAGCUAUCACAUGGGAACCGGGAGCUGCUCAGCAAAGCCACUGUGGAAGUGUACCACCAAGUGAGGCAUGGCACGGCGGGCUGGAAGAGUACUGGCCCUGGAGCCAGACCACCUGGGGCUGUACCCGGACCUUGCCACUUACUAGCUUUGUGACAUUCGGUAAGUUCCUUAACCUCUCUAGGCUGCAGUUUCAUCAAUUGCAAAUUGGGGAUAAGAAUAGUAUCUACCCAAGAGGGUUGCAUGAGGAUGAAAAUGAGUUAGUACACACCGAGUGCUUAGAGCAGGGCCUGGCAUGUGGAUGUCACUGCUUAUUAUGAGUGGUAUUAUUUAUAAAUCUCACAGUACCCUCUAAGCACGAUUGUGAAGUAGGUAUCAUUCCCUUUAUUUUACAGAUGCCCUUAUGAGGAAACUUCUGAACUUCAGAAGAGUCACUGAGUUAGUAAUUCCCAGACCUGGGACUGGAAGCCAAAUCUUGUGCUCCUUCUGCUCUCCCCAAUAGUUCCUACCAUUCUGAGGAGACAAGAAAUCAGGAAAUUUACAUAAGCAACCUUAAAACUGGGGCACUGUCCCAGAGCUCAGCAGAACCCUGGGAAAGGGGAACAGAGGACAGAGAAUCUCUGGAUAACAGUCCUUGAAAGAGGGGGAGGGUAUGGACAACAGAGGAAAGGAAGUGGGAAAGAAGGAGCCAAGGCUCCCUCAUCCUGCGUCUUCUCAGUCACCAAGGCAGACCUGGAACUACCUCCUCUCAGAGAGAUGAGCUCCUGAGCCCUCAGUUACUGGGCUGGCACUCCGGACCAGCAGCCCAGCCUCGAAGGCUGGCAGUAAGAGCUUGCCUGAGAGACAGACUCCAGCAGGAGGCACCCUCUCCCCACAUCCCCACACACAGCAUUGGGAAGCCUGGGCCUGGGCUUGCCAUCCCAGGGUCACUGGACUAGGAUGGGGGAUGGGCCUGUGACAGGAGGUGUCCU
Molecule: long non-coding RNA, 1024 nt
Filed under: Rhinolophus ferrumequinum (greater horseshoe bat)
Lineage: Eukaryota; Metazoa; Chordata; Mammalia; Chiroptera; Rhinolophidae
Description: lncRNA (ENSRFEG00010019246.1)
Source: RNAcentral